AUGGGCACACAAAGUUACACGAGCACAUGGCACCCAAACGCAUGGACACAUGGUACACGGACACGGGGGCGCAUCACACAGUUACAUGAGCACAUGGCACAUCUGGUACAUGGCACAGUGGCAUACUGGUACACAGUACAUCCAACCUGGGCUGUUCUAUGGUUCUCUGACUCCAUAUGGAUACAUGGCACAACUGGCACACGGCACACCAACAACUCAUGCGCCAUGCAGACACCUCUCGCGUCCGACAGCUCUCAUGUCUCUGAGCCUGACUCGCCCCGUCCUCAUUUAUAUCAAAGCAUUACGCAAAUUAAAUUGUUUGCAAAGCACUGUCUGCGUGUCUGCUUUAUGCCUGCCUUGGGAAAACACGCUGCUGCCGAGGCUGUAAGGAUGUGCCAUUUUGUUGAGUUUUCCCCCUUAAUGCGUGUUCAAAGGCUGAGCCGGCCCCGCGCGCCCGCCAUCAGCGCUGUGCCUGCCGUGAGCAUCAAAGCACCGUCGGAUCCUGAGCCCGCCUGUAAGCACCUGACAGCAAACAGAGCGGGCCUGGCACAGCGUGGGGAGGGUGUCUGCUGCUCUCACGUGCUCCAGCUUCAGUCUGAAGGUUGCGUGUGGGUGCUGGGAGCUGGUGAUGGGGAGCGCGUGAGCAGGGUGGUUGUGCUAGGAGACAGCGCAGGUCAAGUCAUACAUCUGCCCAUGUGGCUUCUGCCACACUCUGGUUCAUGUCAUCCAGUUGGUCUUGUCACCCAUCAGCUCAUGCCACCAACCAGCUCAUGCCACCUCCUGGCUCACAUCACCUAUCUACUGGUGUCACCCUCUGGCUCAUGUCACAUUCUGGCUCUCAUCAGUCCCUGGCUCAUGUCACCCAUUGACUUGUGUUACCCGCUGGCUUGUGUCACCCAUUGGCUCAUGCCACCCCACUUUCAGCACUGCUCCUGUUGCUCCCAGUGCCAUCACAGCCAGAGGGCUCUGAGCAUCCCCGGCCAGAAAAGCAAACAAACCAAAUAA
This 1005-nucleotide long non-coding RNA is filed under the name Coturnix japonica (Japanese quail). RNAcentral describes it as "lncRNA (ENSCJPG00005008307.1)". The record is from RNAcentral. Lineage: Eukaryota; Metazoa; Chordata; Aves; Galliformes; Phasianidae.